GGCCAGCAGCCGCGGUAAUACGUAGGGUCCUAGCGUUGUCCGGAUUUACUGGGUGUAAAGGGUGCGCAGGCGGGCUUGUGCGUCAGAGGUUAAAUAUCUCGGCUUAACCGGGAAAAUGCCUUUGAUACGGCAAGUCUUGAACACGAGAGAGGAUAGUAGAAUUCCUGGUGUAGCGGUGAAAUGCGUAGAUAUCAGGAGGAAUACCAGUGGCGAAGGCGGCUAUCUGGCUCGUUGUUGACGCUCAGGCACGAAAGCGUGGGGAUCAAACAGGAUUAGAUACCCUGGUAGUCCACGCCCUAAACGAUGUAUGCUUGGUGUUAGUCGCUUGCGACUAGUGCCGGAGGAAACCCGUUAAGCAUACCACCUGGGGAGUACGAUCGCAAGUUUGAAACUCAAAGGAAUUGACGGGGGCCCGCACA
Molecule: ribosomal RNA, 419 nt
Filed under: uncultured bacterium
Lineage: Bacteria
Description: bacterial SSU rRNA
Rfam family: Bacterial small subunit ribosomal RNA
Source: RNAcentral